UACGUAGGGGGCGAGCGUUAUCCGGAUUUACUGGGUGUAAAGGGGGCGCAGACGGCGAUGCAAGCCAGGAGUGAAAGCCCGGGGCCCAACCCCGGGACUGCUCUUGGAACUGCGUGGCUGGAGUGCAGGAGGGGCAGGCGGAAUUCCUGGUGUAGCGGUAAAAUGCGUAGAUAUCAGGAGGAACACCAGUGGCGAAGGCGGCCUGCUGGACGAUGACUGACGUUGAGGCUCGAAAGCGUGGGGAGCAAACAGG
RNAcentral lists this ribosomal RNA (253 nucleotides) under uncultured bacterium. RNAcentral's name for it is "partial 16S ribosomal RNA". It matches the Rfam family "Bacterial small subunit ribosomal RNA", at positions 524 to 776 of the family's 1533-position model. The record is from RNAcentral.